GUAAGAACAGCUUGAAGAAUAUAAUUGAUUCUUUGCGGUUACUAUCUUUUGUUUCCUUAUGCCAGAUUUACUCAAAUAUAGCUGUUAUGGCAGGUAAUCGGAAUUUCUCCUUUGCUUUACCUUUCUAUACAGGAGUACAGGUAGACAAUUGCAUAAGCACUUGGCAAGCGAAAGGAUCAACUACGAUAUUAUACCAAGUCAUGAACAGUGCAUCGAGGCUACCUGAUGACAUUCUUACGAUAUACAUGUGUGUGCCUGAAAUUUAAACUUUCUUCUACUUCAGAGGCUACAUGAUGACAUUCUUGCUGGUUGCUGCUGCUAGCUGCUGUGCUACCUGGUGUAUUCUUUUCUUGCAAUUUUGCUCCUAGCUUCUAUGCCAAGCUAAUAUGUGGUGUGGUGUGGUGUGGUGUAUAUAUGUAACUAGCUAGCCUAUAAUCCUACUCGGUACGCUUACGCUCGGAGAGAAAAUCGGAGAUGUUGCGAUGGCACAACCGUGAUGUAAGCGGUGGACGGACGGACGGACGGACGAACGGAAAUGGCUGUUGAAGCAUAUUUCAGUUGCAUAUUUGUUUUUCCUACUACAGUUGACUAAUGCAGAUGAUGUGAACUACAGUAAUCUGUAUGUGACCAGCAUGUUCAUAUUACAGAUCAUGUUGACAUAGAGGAAGCAUAUUAUGUGCUAACAAUUUCUGAA
Molecule: long non-coding RNA, 694 nt
Organism: Oryza sativa Japonica Group (Japanese rice)
Lineage: Eukaryota; Viridiplantae; Streptophyta; Magnoliopsida; Poales; Poaceae
Source: RefSeq, a predicted model, not a curated record